AGAUUUUUAACUUAGAAAAAAAUUGAAAAGCUCUCUCCUCUCUUCCUCUCAAAACCGUCCCCUCUUCUCUCUCACUCACCUCACCAUAGAUUUUUCAUUUCUCACCCAUUCAAGCUUGGAUCGGUCUUGUUGGAUCAAGGAACUUGCAAGGAAAUCACUUCUCUUAAGGUAACUAACCUUCUCCUUGUUUUUGCUUGGUAGAAACUCAUGAUUCUAGGAAUUUUUGGGUUAUGUUCUUGAGAAUUAUUUUUCUAGAAAUUAGUUUUGGUUGUUUGUGGUUCUAGGGAAGUGUUUAGGAGUAGUAUUUAAGCUUGUUUAAGCUUGGCAUGUUGUGAUUUCCAUGGUGAUUAAGAUUUUCAUGAAAACUUUUGUUAGGGUUUGAAAAAUUGAUUUGAAUUGCUCAUAACUUUGGAAAAUUGUGUUGUGCUUUUAUUUUUGAAGUUGUUUAUGAGCUUUGUAGGGAAAUGGAUGUUAGGAAAUGGUUUUGUUUUUGUGAAACAAGAAAAUUUAUUUUGUAUGUGUGUUCUUGAGGUGUUCAUGAACAAAUUUUUGGAAAUCCUUGCUUUGGCCCUCAAAAUGAUUUGGUUGAUCAAUUUCAAAGACUUGUGGACUCAUAGAUGCAUGCUAGGUAUUAGUAUUGAAAAAAUUUUGGGUGUGGUUUACAUUUUUCAAAACUUUUGGUCAUGAGAAAUUUUGAAAAGUGAGGAGGAGUUUUCAAAAAUUGUCAGGGCUUUGAGGGAGGCACAAUGGUGGCCUAGGGCGAAUUACCAUGCAAAAAUUUUUGGGAA
This 788-nucleotide long non-coding RNA is filed under the name Trifolium pratense (red clover). Its description in RNAcentral is "long non-coding RNA (TPRA_LNC008611)". The record is from RNAcentral. Lineage: Eukaryota; Viridiplantae; Streptophyta; Magnoliopsida; Fabales; Fabaceae.